UUAAAUCCCACGCACACAGAGAGCCGUAGAGACGCACGACGGCUGCCCAGUCGAGACUUCUUCGAGACAAUCGCGCGCGUCUCACGGAUCGCGAAGAAAUCGCAUCGUCGCGUCGUCUAACCUCAAUGACACAAUCGAGCGGAGGCAGUGAACUUCUCUCUGGCGUCGGACUAUUUCAAGCUCUCGAAACGCGGCAGGACAAGAGAGAGAAGAAAACCAGUUCACCGCGCGCGUAGAGCUACGUGACUUACGUAAAAUAUAAUACGCUUCCGAGGAAAGACGCGUCGCAACACACGUAAAUACGUAAGGGUACAUACAUACACGUAUACAUAGAUGUAGACGUACACGUACGUCACCACUUGGAUCAUUACUCGCAAAGGACAAAAUUCAUCGACUUACGUCAACUGCAAGCUCCGCUCUCAAUCGAUACACCACGAUGUCUCUCUCACACUCUGUUCGUCUGCGUUGCUCUUUCACAGCCGUUCGCUUCGUCCCUUUGUUCCUAUCGUCCCGGUAGAUUCUCACCACUACGUCGUUUAAGUUGGACCGUUCCUUUCUUUCACGCGGUUGAAUUCGAGUCAUAAACUGGGUCGUUAUGUUCACGGUGGCACACGCGUGUUUUCGUCGUUCCUCGAGCUUUUUCUCGAGUUUUCUAGGGAAGAGGAAUAAAU
Molecule: unclassified non-coding RNA, 671 nt
Filed under: Bombus terrestris (buff-tailed bumblebee)
Lineage: Eukaryota; Metazoa; Arthropoda; Insecta; Hymenoptera; Apidae
Description: misc RNA ENSBTSG00005034126.1
Source: RNAcentral